This 446-nucleotide ribosomal RNA is filed under the name uncultured fungus. RNAcentral describes it as "eukaryotic LSU rRNA". The stretch from base 80 to 233 matches the Rfam family "5.8S ribosomal RNA". The record is from RNAcentral. Lineage: Eukaryota; Fungi.
UUAGGCUGGUCCGUGCCUGCCGAGGGACCUCUCAAAAUCUUGAUUUUUGUGUUGUCUGAGUAAUAUACAAAUUAGUUAAAACUUUCAACAACGGAUCUCUUGGUUCUGGCAUCGAUGAAGAACGCAGCGAAAUGCGAUAAGUAGUGUGAAUUGCAGAAUUCAGUGAAUCAUCGAAUCUUUGAACGCACAUUGCACCCUCUGGUAUUCCAGGGGGUAUGCCUGUUCGAGCGUCAUUUCAACCCUCAAGCACAGCUUGGUGUUGGGUGUCACCUGGCAAUGGUGCACCUUAAAAUCAGUGGCGGUGCCAUCUGGCUUCAAGCGUAGUAAAUCUUUCGCUUUGGAGGUUUGAGCGGUUCUUGCCAAAUCAACCCCUAAUUUUUAUCAAAGGUUGACCUCGGAUCAGGUAGGGAUACCCGCUGAACUUAAGCAUAUCAAUAAGCGGAGGA